This is a long non-coding RNA of Gorilla gorilla gorilla (western lowland gorilla), 632 nucleotides long. RefSeq lists it as uncharacterized. The transcript is spliced from 2 exons. The record is from RefSeq and is a predicted model, not a curated record. NCBI's taxonomy places the organism in Eukaryota, Metazoa, Chordata, Mammalia, Primates, Hominidae.
UUUAGAUUCCAAAUUGUCCCAGAAGCUUGAUGGUCUCUCCGUUCUGGUUUAUGGCAGCCUGUAGGUAGGUGACGCUUCCCAGCACCACAAGUUGGCCAGAGCCAGGCCCUGACAAAAAGAUGAUCUGCAGAAGAGCCCACAGCAAACAGCCAGGUCCACAGGGAGCAGCAUCGGUUCACGGCGGGCAAGAGUGUGGCCUCACGUCUGGGAAAGGUGGAAGGUUGAGAACUAGGACCAAGACAGGCCCUGACUGGAAGAACAGGGGCAAGUAGGCAGGAAGAGGGAGGAGAGGAUCCUUGUCAGAGGAAUCAGGGUUGCAAUCCAUCUGGAGGGACUUAAUUGUCCCCAGCCCUCAGCUCAGCAUUGCUCGUGAAAAUGGAGGCUGCCCCUCAAGUGGACAUCGAGUGGCUACAACUGCUAGAAGGAGAGACGUCAGGAACACACUGCAAACCGCCUUUCACAUUUCACACCUCCAGGCAAUAGAAACAGCCGGACUUUCCUUGAAUAUUCUUCCAUGAAGACUGCAGAAGGCAAGGGUCUUUCUUUGGGAAAUAACAAUAAUACUUCACUAGAAUGUCAAUAAUAAUUAAGCUGGGGGUGUAUAGGGAAGAAAUAAAAGCAACAUCCCUCAA